Molecule: ribosomal RNA, 253 nt
Filed under: uncultured bacterium
Lineage: Bacteria
Description: partial 16S ribosomal RNA
Rfam family: Bacterial small subunit ribosomal RNA
Source: RNAcentral
UACAGAGGUGGCAAGCGUUGUUCGGAAUUACUGGGCGUAAAGGGCGCGUAGGCGGCCUUCUAAGUCAGACGUGAAAUCCCCCGGCUUAACCUGGGAACUGCGUCUGAUACUGGGAGGCUAGAGUAUGGGAGAGGGAUGUGGAAUUCCAGGUGUAGCGGUGAAAUGCGUAGAGAUCGGGCGGAACACCAGCGGCGAAGGCGGCAUCCUGGUCCUGUUCUGACGCUGAGGCGCGAGAGCGUGGGGAGCGAACUGG